GUUUUAAUCUUUAUCCUCGCUUCGGGUCCGUUUCGUUAUUUCCGCAGCAUGUGAAGCAGACCAGCUCCGUGUGAUGGAGUCGGGUCGUUUUACUGAGAUCUAAAAGCUGUUUAACGGUUUAACUAGCUUUUUCUUCGUCAGCAGCUUUUGACUGUUCCGCUAAAACCGUAACGAACUUCACAAACCACUUUGGGACACUUUUUAUUUUGUAGUUGGCGUUUUUCAGACGAUGUUUGAUGAUUGCAGAAUUUACAUUUGUUUGUUUUUUUCGGCUGAACACCUUUAAAUAAAGCUUCGUUAUUUUUUGUAUAAUAGGACCAUGUCACUGACCCGCACCUGGACGCCCCUCAGGCCUCGGGCAUGUUUCGCCUCAUGGGGAAGUGAAGUGUGAGGACGCGGCGCCCCCUGCCGCUGCCGCUACAGACCAUGGCCGAGUCCAGCUAUUCCGACCUGAUCGCCAAACACUACAACUACACCGGAAAGUUUCGAAAGACGCAGCAGGACUCGGGCCUGAAGGCCGACUCAGUGGUCUUCAUCAUAGUGUGCUGCUUCAUCAUCCUGGAGAAUGUCCUGGUCCUCACCACCAUUUGGAGGACCAAGAAGUUCCACAAGCCUAUGUACUACUUCAUCGGGAACCUGGCGCUGUCCGACCUUCUGGCCGGAGUCGUCUACACCGCCAACAUUCUGCUGUCUGGCGCCAACACCUACAAGCUGACGCCCACGCAAUGGUUCUUCAGGGAGGGCAGCAUGUUCGUGGCGCUGGCCGCGUCCGUCUUUAGCCUCCUGGCCAUCGCCAUCGAGCGUCACCUCACUAUGCUUAAGAUGAAGCUGCACAACAGCGGUAACACCUGCCGCGUGUUCCUGCUCAUCAGCACCGUGUGGAUGAUCGCGGCGGUGCUGGGAGGCCUGCCGGUGAUGGGCUGGAACUGCAUCCGGAGCAUGGCGCAGUGCUCCACGGUGCUGCCGCUCUACCACAAGACCUACAUCCUGUUCUGCACCACCGUCUUCAGCGUCAUCCUCAUGGCCAUCGUGGUGCUUUACGCUCGGAUCUAUGCACUGGUGCGCACUCGCAGCCGCAAACUUGUUUUUCGCAAAGUGUCCAACGGGCGCAGCAGCAGCGGUGCCAACAGCAAGAGCUCGGAGAAGUCCCUGGCGCUGCUGAAGACGGUCAUCAUAGUCCUGAGCUGUUUCAUCGCUUGCUGGGCUCCUCUCUUCAUCCUGCUGCUGCUGGACGUGGCCUGUGAGACGCUGCGCUGCCCCAUCCUCUACAAGGCCGAGUGGUUCCUGGCGCUCGCCGUCCUCAACUCCGCCAUGAACCCGCUCAUUUACACGCUGACCAGCAACGAAAUGCGCCGCGCGUUCCUCAAGACGCUGAUGUGCUGCACCGCAUGCUUCCGGCCUCGCUCCAAGUUUACCGGACCGUUAGUUGGCGCAGAGUUCAGCCGCAGCAAGUCGGACAACUCCUCACACCCCAACAGGGAGGAGGCGGAGUCCACAGCGGCAAACGUCAUGUCGUCCUCCUAAAGGUCCAGACGCUGGACCGCAACCCGUCUUAACCGGACCUGUGUACUGGUGUGAACUCUUCAGGACUCACAGAAGCUGUCAGACUGGUUGGACCAGUGAACCCUCAGAGUUAGUGAAUCACAAGCAGAGUCCCUGAGACAAGAAGGUCUGAGCUUCCUGGGAGCCUUUGUGGUGUUCUACUGACCCCUAAGAUCAGAAGCUGUAGUUGGCAGGUAUUUAAGGAGCUUCGUUAAUUCAUGUACAUUUUGUUUUACCUUUUUUCCAUCAAGCACAUAUGGAAACAAUGUUUUUACUCACUGAAUUCACUGAAACUGCUGCAAAAGGCUUUGAUCUGAUUUUACCUGGUUCAAAAAAAGGAAAAGUAUGACAAGAUUUUUCCAUCACAGCAUAUUUAUCAUGAGAUCUGUCAGCAUAACACAUACUCAAAUACCUGUGAAAUAUAUAACUAAAUAAAUAAUUGUACUUAUACUGAAAUAACACAGUCAAUGUGAGGCUUUUACCAUAACAGUGUGAUCAGAGGUUCCUCCAUCACCAAUAAUUAAUAUUAAUAUUAAUAAUUGUUAUUGUUCAGUAACAACUGUAACAUCUAUAAACAAACAAAAAAUGAAGAAUGAAAAUAAAAAUCUUUAAUUUAUUUGAAUGAUUUUUACUCUUCUUCUUUUAAAUGUAGUGAUGUAAGUACAGAAUAAAGCAGAACCAGCUAAAUAAAAAACAUUUGUCCCACUGAGCAGCACUUGGGCAUUGUUACAUCCCAGCAUUACAACAGGUCACAACUGAACUUCAGUCAAUUUGGGAGUAAAGGUGUAAAAAUAUUUUUAAAUGUUUUAAGUUCUUCCCUUACUUCUCCACAUGUUUUUAUUAUCAUUAGAGUGACAAUGUAAAAAACCCUGUCUGUUGUAAUUUGAUUCAUAUUUGAAAAAUGUGUUAGUUACAUGAGCAAAAGGUUCAGAUGUUCGGAGUUUGAUUUCUGUCCAUAUUACAAUAAAUGAAUGAAAUGAAAGCAUCCUUUUAAAAACUGAUGUGUCAUUUAAAUGUCAUGAAUCUUAAAUCACAUUAAAUCACCUUGUGCAUGAACAUGAACGACAGCUACUGAAUGAAGAUAAACUCAUAGAGGUGCUGCCCAAAAUCUCAGAAAAUCAAUUUCCCAUUUUAAAGAGCAUCCAAACAAAUAAAACCCUAUUACCAUGGUAACCGGUUGGCCUCGGUUUUGCAUCAGAAGCUGGUUGAUUGACAGAUUUUCAGUAUAUUAUUAGAUUUUCAUGUGCAGGCUGGACUACUGUAACUCCUUACUCAUAGGAUGUCCUAACAGCUCCUUAAAAAGCCUACAGCUCAUUCAAAAUGCUGCAGCCAGAGUUCUGACAGGACUUAGAAAGAGAGAUCACAUUUCUCCUACAUUAGCUUCUCUGCACUGGCUGCCUGUAAAAUGUAGGAUAGAAUUAAAAAUUCUCCUACUCGCAUACAAAGUACUCAAUGAUAAAGCUCCUUCUUAUCUUAAAGACCUUAUAGUUCCUUAUGCUCCCAGCAGAACACUUCGUUCUCAGAGCGCUGGGCUACUUGUGGUUCCUAGAGUGUUUAAAUGUAGAACAGGGGGCAGAGCUUUUAGCUACCAAGCUCCUCUCCUCUGGAACCAGCUCCCUCUUCAGGUUCGAGAAGCUGACACACUCUUCACCUUUAAGAUUAGGCUUAAAACCUUCCUUUUUGAUAAAGCUUAUAGUUAGAGAUGGUUCAGGUCACUGGCAAUUAUUGUUAGUCACAGGAACCAUCUCUUAGUUAAGCUGCAAUAGACAUAGACUGCUGGGGGACUUAAUUUAUACACUGAGCUCCUCUGUUUCCUUCUACCUCCUCUGUCCCAUAACCUCCCAUCAUUGUCCCAUUAGUUGUGCUUCUCCCCCCCCCCCCCCCCCCCCCCCCCCCCCCCCCCCCCCCCCCCCCCCCCACCCACCCCCACCCCACUCUUUCUCCCUCUCUGUCCUCACCUACAGGUAUCAUUGGACUCAAAGUUUGGUGUCUGUGAUGGGCAGCUGCGGAUCCAACCAUCCUGCCUGCAUCCAGUCCCUGGUCCUACCAUCCUGCCUGUGCUCUGUUGUUGCUUGUUGUUGCUUGUUGCUGUUGCUGUGCUUUUCUAUCUCUCUAUCCUCUCACCCCAACCGGUCGAGGCAGAUGGCCGCCCACAUCCAGUCUGGUUCUGCUGGAGGUUUCUUCCUCGUUAGAGAGGGAGUUUUUCCUCUCCACUGUUGCUGUCAAAUUAAAUGCUUGCUGUAUGUGGGAUUUGUUGGGUUUAGUUGUGUGAGGUUUUAAACUUUGUAAAGUGCCUUGAAAUAACUUUGUUGUGAUUUGGCGCUAUAUAAAUAAAAUUGAAUUGAAUUGAA
This is an RNA transcript of Betta splendens (Siamese fighting fish), 3893 nucleotides long. It is a transcript of the gene named sphingosine-1-phosphate receptor 1, with no coding region annotated. Lineage: Eukaryota; Metazoa; Chordata; Actinopteri; Anabantiformes; Osphronemidae. The record is from RefSeq and is a predicted model, not a curated record. The transcript is spliced from 3 exons.